GGGAAACUCACCAGGUCCAGACACAAUAAGGAUUGACAGAUUGAUAGCUCUUUCUUGAUCUUGUGGUUGGUGGUGCAUGGCCGUUCUUAGUUGGUGGAGUGAUUUGUCUUGUUAAUUCCGAUAACGAACGAGACCUUAACCUGCUAAAUAGACCAGCCGGCUUUGGCUAGCUGCUGUCUUCUUAGAGGGACUAUCAGCGUUUAGCUGAUGGAAGUUUGAGGCAAUAA
Molecule: ribosomal RNA, 227 nt
Filed under: uncultured eukaryote
Lineage: Eukaryota
Description: partial 18S ribosomal RNA
Rfam family: Eukaryotic small subunit ribosomal RNA
Source: RNAcentral